Long non-coding RNA from Cyprinus carpio (common carp), 2855 nucleotides. RefSeq lists it as uncharacterized. The record is from RefSeq and is a predicted model, not a curated record. The transcript has 3 exons. Lineage: Eukaryota; Metazoa; Chordata; Actinopteri; Cypriniformes; Cyprinidae.
GUGACGUCAUAAGGCUGCGCCGCGCUCCGUCGGCUGAAGACAGGAUAAAGUGUCCAAACACAAACUCCUGCUGAGAUCCACGUGACACAUUAUUAUAAAGAUGGCGUUUAUUAAAGAAGAGAGUGAAGAUGUGACGAUUGAAGAAACAUUCAAAGUCAAACAUGAAGAUACUGAGGAACAAACAGACCCGAUGGCGCUGAAAAAGGAGAGUCAAGAAAUCAAUGAAGUGGAAGAGAAAAAUCAGUAUGAGAUGCACGUUGAUUUAUUGACUGGUGAAAAACCCAGACAGACCAAAAAGAUUUUGUCACAAAAAGGAGCUCAGAAGACCAAAUCUAACAGUUCUAAUCAAGCAAGAACCAGACGGACAAAAAAUAUUUUAUCACGAAAAGGAGCGCGAAAGACUAAAUCUAACAGUUCUAAUCAAGCAAGAACCAGACAGACCAAAAAGAUUUCAUCACGAAAAGGAGCUCAGAAGACCAAAUCUAACAGUUCUAAUCAAACACGAAAACAAAACCUUGAAAUCCACAGGAAUCCACAAUGCCUUAAAACGCAUGUAAUAACUCACUCUGGGAGAAACCUUUCAUGUGCCACCAGUGUGGAAAGACUUUCCGAUUCAAUAAAUACCUUGCGAUUCACAUGAGAGUUCACACCGGAGAGAGGCCUUACACCUGCAAACACUGUGGGAAGAGCUUCUCACUAAAAGGAAAUCUGAACACUCACUUGAAAGUUCACACUGGAGAGAAGCCUUUUACAUGUGAUCAGUGUGGAAAGAGUUUCAGAACUAAAGGAAACCUUCAGACUCACAUUAGUCUUCACUCUGGAGGGAGCCCUCACAACUGCAAACUGUGCAGGAAGAGCUUCUCAUUAAAAGGAAGUCUUAAAACUCACAUGAGAAUUCACACAGGAGAGAGGCCCUUCAUAUGUGUUCAAUGUGGAAAGAGUUUCAGAUGUAAAGAAGCACUUAAUUACCACACAAAUAUUCACUCAAGAGAGGACAGAUUUAUAUGUCAGCAGUGUGGAAGGAGUUUUACAGACAGAAAUCACCUUAAAAAUCAUGUAACAACUCACACUGGAAAGAAGCCUAACAUGUGCCAUCACUGUGGAAAGUGUUUCACAAAGCAAACCUUGCUUCAGAAUCACAUAAGAGUUCACACUGGAGAGAAGCCUUUCACCUGCCUUAAGUGUGGAAAGAGUUUCAGGGUUAAAGGAAAUCUUCAGACUCACAUGAGAAUUCACUCUGGAGAGAAGCCUUUCACCUGCACUCACUGUGGAAUGUGUUUCAGAUUUAAAGGAAACUUUAACAGUCACAUGAGGUUUCAUGUGUCUUCAGUAUGAGAAGAGUUAUACAAAUCAAAGAGACCUCAAACAUUUAUAAAAUCAUCAGGGAAAUAAACUGCAGUUUUAGGAUUGUGUCAAAAGGUUUUUGAAAUAAAUCAAUAUCAAAAACAUCCUGCUCAUUCACUUUGGAAAUUUAUAUAAAUAUAUAUAAAUAUUUAAUUAGGAUAAUUUAUUUUGCCUUCACAUGUAGCAAUUGUAGCAUUUGGACCAAUCAAACACACAACUAUUUGUUAUAUUUAACAAAUAAUAUCUAACGCCUCCUCAUUUAACCAAAGGGUCUAUGGACCCUUCCCCCAAAAGGCAGAAAAAAAGCAUGAAAGUAUUGUUCUUAGAAUUGACAGACAGUUGACACUGAGAGGUCAAGUAAAUACUUACAGCAGAUCUAAAUAUUUGUAAUUAAUUAUUACUAGUUAUGAUUGAUUAUUCAUAUUUCCCCCUUGAGCUGAUUCGCUUCAAGAUGCAUCUGCAAAAGUCAUGUGUUUGUGAGACCCUAUUUGUUUUCUUAUGUGUGGAAAGCAUUUAAAAUGGCACCAGAAAAUGUCUAUCUGUGGUAAAUUAAUUUCAAUUGUAUAGGGGUCAACGUGACGCCUAAAUUGUCUGUCCGAUUGAAUUUUUUCACUUAAAAAUGGGUUUAAAUGCGUAAAAAGAUACUAUAUAUAAGAAGUACCUCUCCCAUGUAUGUACUCACUUUAACUUUACGAAAAAAAUCCCAUUAGUUUUUUGUAAUUUGUGUAUUAUUUAAAGUGUCAAAAUAUCAUGUGUUGUGACCUUCCGACCAUAACUGCUGUUUUGGAAACCUCUUUGAAAUUAUUCUAAAUGUUUUAACAUUUAUUUUAUUCAUUAUUUGGCGAGAUUUAUGUAAUCCUGUACAAAAUUGCAAAUCAUUUGUUUUUAUAUUUCCAUCAUAAUAUACAAACAAACUUUGUUUGUUGAUGUCCAUUUUAUGAAAUAUUGAGGUGUGACCAUCAAGAAACUACCACUUUGGGGAUUUUAUGUUGAAAUCCAUUCAAAGACAGGAUGUUGCAUCAUAUACCAAUUUGCCAUGGAACCGGGGAAGCAGCAAGAAAGUUUGUAACUCUCAAAUUAAAAAAGAAAAAACUUUUUAAUGGUUGGUAUGUAGUCACCACAUUUAGAUAUCAUGUGGUAUGACCUCAAAAAAACAAUGAAUAUUAAAGGGUUAGUUCACCCAAAAAUGAAAAUUAGCCCAUAAAUUACUCACCCUCAAGGCAUCCUAGGUGUUACGAUAAGGGGUUUUAUCUUGGUUCUCUCCGGACUCCAUUUACCAUAAACCCCUACCUAGUUGCACACAUCCACACACACAUUACUGAUUAUUGUUUAGCCUGUACCCUGUUCCUAGUCUCUGUGUUUCCCUGCUUUGCCUUGCCUUCUUGUUUUUUGACCUUGGACUGGUUAUCGGAUUACUCUUUUGUCUCGCCCUGGACUGUACCCGUUUACUGGUGUUUGACCCUGCCUGUUUUGACCAUCCUUGUAAAUAAAAGCUGCAUUUGGAUUCUCAA